RNAcentral lists this transfer RNA (42 nucleotides) under Trinodes hirtus. Its description in RNAcentral is "partial tRNA-Leu". The record is from RNAcentral. Lineage: Eukaryota; Metazoa; Arthropoda; Insecta; Coleoptera; Dermestidae.
AAUGGAUUUAAGCCCCAUAUAUAAAGUAUACUUUUUUUAGAA